Molecule: long non-coding RNA, 373 nt
Organism: Perca fluviatilis (European perch)
Lineage: Eukaryota; Metazoa; Chordata; Actinopteri; Perciformes; Percidae
Exons: 2
Source: RefSeq, a predicted model, not a curated record
GCCACUCUCACCUGCUCUGCUCCAGCCAGCUGCAGAUCAUUCCAGUAAUCAACCAACAGCCAGCUGCAGCUCACUCCAGUAAUCAACCAACAGUUAUCUACCCGGGCUGUUCACCUCUUCAGCGCCAGUUCGUUGCAACCAUUCCUGUGAUCCCGCCUCUGGACCUGCUGCUUUUCGGUUCUCAUCUGCCUCCUCGCUGCCUGCUCACCUCGCAACUCCGUUCUCAACCAGCCUUUCCACCCAGCUCUCGUCUUCGCUGCCUGGCCACACACCCGCCGUCUGAUCUCCAGCUUCGACUCCACCUGGAGCUGCUCUCCUGGCCAUUCCCUCCUGCACUAUCCACAUUGUGUCCAAUAAAACACUGCUAACCGCU